This 378-nucleotide unclassified non-coding RNA is filed under the name uncultured Thermoleophilia bacterium. RNAcentral's name for it is "contains 16S-23S intergenic spacer region". Lineage: Bacteria; Bacillati; Actinomycetota; Thermoleophilia. The record is from RNAcentral.
UCCGGUUUGACACCGGCAGUCUCCCAUGAGUCCCCGACAUUACUCGCUGGCAACAUAGGAUAAGGGUUGCGCUCGUUGCGGGACUUAACCCAACAUCUCACGACACGAGCUGACGACAGCCAUGCACCACCUGUGAUGGUGUCCCGAAGGAAAACCGUGUUUCCACGGCGGUCACCAACAUGUCAAACCCUGGUAAGGUUCUUCGCGUUGCGUCGAAUUGAGCCACAUGCUACGCCGCUUGUGCGGGUCCCCGUCAAUUCCUUUGAGUUUUAGCCUUGCGGCCGUACUCCCCAGGCGGGGUGCUUAAUGCGUUAGCUUCGGCACGGAGGGAGUCGACACCCCCCACACCUAGCACCCAUCGUUUACGGCGUGGACUAC